This 443-nucleotide ribosomal RNA is filed under the name uncultured bacterium. RNAcentral describes it as "bacterial SSU rRNA". It matches the Rfam family "Bacterial small subunit ribosomal RNA", at positions 338 to 795 of the family's 1533-position model. The record is from RNAcentral.
CCUACGGGAGGCAGCAGUGGGGAAUAUUGCACAAUGGGGGAAACCCUGAUGCAGCGACGCCGCGUGAAGGAAGAAGGUCUUCGGAUCGUCAACUUCUAUCAGCAGGGAAGAAGGAAGUGACGGUACCUGACUAAGAAGCCCCGGCUAACUACGUGCCAGCAGCCGCGGUAAGACGUAGGGGGCAAGCGUUAUCCGGGAUCACUGGGUGUAAACGGUGCGUAGGCGGUAGGGCAAGUCAGAUGUGAAAGCCCGGAGCUCAACGCAGGGAUUGCAGUUGUAACUGUCUUACUAGAGUGCAGGUGGGGAAAGCGGAAUUCCUAGUGUCGCGGUGAAAGGCGUAGAUAUUAGGGAGAAGACCAGGGGCGAAGGCGGCUUUGUAGACUGUAACUGACGAUGAGGCACGAAAGCGUGGGGAGCGAACAGGGUUAGAUACCCGUGUAGUC